AGCAUAAAUGAUGACCAUCGGGACUUAAUACUGAUAUUUAUCAUGAUGUCCUUAGAUGCAUGCUGAUGUGU
This is a small nucleolar RNA of Heteronotia binoei (common prickly gecko), 71 nucleotides long. RefSeq annotates it as small nucleolar RNA SNORD82. The transcript has a single exon. The record is from RefSeq and is a predicted model, not a curated record. Lineage: Eukaryota; Metazoa; Chordata; Lepidosauria; Squamata; Gekkonidae.